AGCGGCUUUGGCUAUUGUGAUUGUCACAGACCAGAUGCUUCUGAAGGUCUGUCGAGGCACCCUUGCCCCUUGCUGGCUCAGAGCCACCUUUCCAGCUGUUGUUCUUAGGGCUCCUGCACUGGUACAUGGCUGUAUCCAAGCUUUGGGGUAGUGGGGCUCCUUUGAGUACAUCAGCUGAGAAGCCCUCGUUUCUGAUACUCUGCUCUCUGGCUUUUCUGAACAGCAAACUUGCCUUACCAGAUUUCCUCUCCCAGGACUGGGAUUUGGGGGAAGUGGGCAAGGCAGGACAGGGCAGGAGCAGUUUGUUAGCCCAGCUAGACUGAAAGACUCUGAGGGGCUGUGCCUGAUGCUGGUUAUGUGUCUCUACAGAUAUGACUCCUACGAGGCCUGUGACUCAAGGGCCAUCCUGAGUGAGCGCGACCUGUACCGGUCAGGCUAUGACUAUGGCGAGCUUGACCCCGAGAUGGAAAUGGCCUACGAGGGCCAGUAUGAUGCUUACCGUGACCAGUUACGAAUGCGUGGCAGCGAUACCUUCGGUCCAAGGGCUCAGGGCUGGGCCCGGGAUGCCCGGAGUGGACGGCCAUUGGCCUCAGGCUAUGGGCGCAUGUGGGAAGAUCCCAUGGGGGCCCGGGGCCAGUGCAUGCCUGGUGUCUCCCGGCUGCCCUCCCUCUUCUCCCAGAACAUCAUCCCCGAGUAUGGCAUGUUCCAGGGCAUGCGUGGCGGGGGUACCUUUCCGGGUGGCUCACGCUUUGGCUUUGGAUUUGGCAAUGGCAUAAAGCAGAUGAGGCGGACCUGGAAGACUUGGACCACUGCUGACUUCCGGACCAAAAAGAAGAAGAGAAAGCAAGGCGGCAGUCCUGAUGAGCCAGACAGCAAGGCUACCCGAACGGACUGCUCAGACAACAGUGACUCAGACAAUGGUGAGCUGGGUGGUAUGGGGGCCUUGCCCCUGCCCCUGCCCCUCCUCCUUCCCCUUU
This 977-nucleotide long non-coding RNA is filed under the name Nannospalax galili (Upper Galilee mountains blind mole rat). Its description in RNAcentral is "lncRNA (ENSNGAG00000024521.1)". The record is from RNAcentral. Lineage: Eukaryota; Metazoa; Chordata; Mammalia; Rodentia; Spalacidae.